Molecule: ribosomal RNA, 484 nt
Filed under: uncultured bacterium
Lineage: Bacteria
Description: partial 16S ribosomal RNA
Rfam family: Bacterial small subunit ribosomal RNA
Source: RNAcentral
AGUGAACGCUGGCGGCGUGCUUAACACAUGCAAGUCGAACGAGAACGGAUUAUAGCUUGCUAUAAUUGUCAGCUAAGUGGCGCACGGGUGAGUAAUGUAUAGGUAAUAUGCCUCUUACUAAGGGAUAACAAAUGGAAACGUUUGCUAAUACCUUAUACUCCUUAUUAACAGAAGUUAAUAAGGGAAAGAUUUAUUGGUAAGAGAUUAGCCUGUAUUGUAUCAGUUAGUUGGUGGGGUAAUGGUUUACCAAGACUAUGACACAUAACUGGUUUGAGAGGAUGAUCAGUCACACUGGAACUGAGACACGGUCCAGACUCCUACGGGAGGCAGCAGUGGGGAAUAUUGCACAAUGGACGGAAGUCUGAUGCAGCAACGCCGCGUGGAGGAUGACACAUUUCGGUGCGUAAACUCCUUUUAUAUGAGAAGAUAAUGACGGUAUUAUAUGAAUAAGCACCGGCUAACUUCGUGCCAGCAGCCGCGGUAA